Molecule: ribosomal RNA, 497 nt
Filed under: uncultured bacterium
Lineage: Bacteria
Description: partial 16S ribosomal RNA
Rfam family: Bacterial small subunit ribosomal RNA
Source: RNAcentral
GACGAACGCUGGCGGCAUGCCUAAUACAUGCAAGUCGAGCGAACAGAUGAAGUGCUUGCCCUUCUGACGUUAGCGGCGAACGGGUGAGUAACACGUAAGGAAUCUACCUAUAAGCGGGGGAUAACAUUCGGAAACGGGUGCUAAUACCGCAUAAUAUCUUCUUCCGCAUGGAAGAAGAUUGAAAGACGGCUCUGCUGUCACUUAUAGAUGACCUUGCGGUGCAUUAGUUAGUUGGUGGGGUAACGGCCUACCAAGACGAUGAUGCAUAGCCGACCUGAGAGGGUGAUCGGCAACAUUGGGACUGAGACACGGCCCAAACUCCUACGGGAGGCAGCAGUAGGGAAUCUUCCGCAAUGGGCGAAAGCCUGACGGAGCAAUGCCGCGUGAGUGAAGAAGGCCUUCGGGUCGUAAAACUCUGUUAUAAGAGAAGAACAAAUUGUAGAGUAACUGCUACAGUCUUGACGGUAUCUUAUCAGAAAGCCACGGCUAACUACGUG